This 497-nucleotide ribosomal RNA is filed under the name uncultured bacterium. RNAcentral's name for it is "partial 16S ribosomal RNA". It matches the Rfam family "Bacterial small subunit ribosomal RNA", at positions 28 to 507 of the family's 1533-position model. The record is from RNAcentral.
GAUGAACGCUGGCGGCGUGCCUAAUACAUGCAAGUCGAGCGAACAGACGAGGAGCUUGCUCCUCUGACGUUAGCGGCGGACGGGUGAGUAACACGUGGAUAACCUACCUGUAAGACUGGGAUAACUUCGGGAAACCGGAGCUAAUACCGGAUAAUAUAUUGAACCGCAUGGUUCAAUAGUGAAAUACGGUUUUGCUGUCACUUAUAGAUGGAUCCGCGCCGCAUUAGAUAGUUGUUGAGGUAACGGCUUACCAAGGCAACGAUGCGUAGCCGACCUGAGAGGGUGAUCGGCCACACGGGAACGGAGACACGGACCAGACUCCUACGGGAGGCAGCAGUAGGGAAUCGUCGGCAAUAGGGGAAAGCCUGACGGAGCAACGCCGCGUGAGUGAUGAAGGUCCUCGGAGCGUAAAAAUCUGUUACUAGGGAAGAACAAAUGUGUAAGUAACUAUGCACGUCUUGACGGUACCUAAUAAGAAAGCCACGGCUAACUACGUG